This 325-nucleotide ribosomal RNA is filed under the name Bacteroides ovatus. RNAcentral describes it as "bacterial SSU rRNA". It matches the Rfam family "Bacterial small subunit ribosomal RNA", at positions 1 to 311 of the family's 1533-position model. Lineage: Bacteria; Pseudomonadati; Bacteroidota; Bacteroidia; Bacteroidales; Bacteroidaceae. The record is from RNAcentral.
CUUUUACAAUGAAGAGUUUGAUCCUGGCUCAGGAUGAACGCUAGCUACAGGCUUAACACAUGCAAGUCGAGGGGCAGCAUUUUAGUUUGCUUGCAAACUAAAGAUGGCGACCGGCGCACGGGUGAGUAACACGUAUCCAACCUGCCGAUAACUCGGGGAUAGCCUUUCGAAAGAAAGAUUAAUAUCCGAUGGUAUAUUAAAACCGCAUGGUUUUACUAUUAAAGAAUUUCGGUUAUCGAUGGGGAUGCGUUCCAUUAGUUUGUUGGCGGGGUAACGGCCCACCAAGACUACGAUGGAUAGGGGUUCUGAGAGGAAGGUCCCCCAC